This 368-nucleotide transfer-messenger RNA is filed under the name Enterococcus durans. It matches the Rfam family "transfer-messenger RNA". From Rfam's summary of the family: Bacterial tmRNA, also known as 10Sa RNA or SsrA, is named for its dual tRNA and mRNA-like properties. Its role is to liberate the mRNA from a stalled ribosome. To accomplish this part of the tmRNA is used as a reading frame that ends in a translation stop signal. RNAcentral also lists the same sequence under 2 other names. The record is from RNAcentral. Lineage: Bacteria; Bacillati; Bacillota; Bacilli; Lactobacillales; Enterococcaceae.
GGGGACGUUACGGAUUCGACAAGCACAGUUCGAGCUUGAAUUGCGUUUCGUAGCUUACGUCUACGUUAAAACGUUACAGUUAAAUAUAACUGCUAAAAACGAAAACAACUCUUACGCUUUAGCUGCCUAAAAACAGUUAGCGUAGAUCCUCUCGGCAUCGCCCAUGUGCUCGAGUAAGGGUCUCAAAUUUAGUGGGAUACGUUAAACUUUUCCGUCUGUAAAGUUUAAAAGAGAUCAUCAGACUAGCAAUACAGAAUGCCUGUCACUCGGCAAGCUGUAAAGCGAAACCUCAAAUGAGUUGACUAUGAACGUAGAUUUUUAAGUGUCGAUGUGUUUGGACGCGGGUUCGACUCCCGCCGUCUCCAUUG